UGCAAGUCGAACGGAAACGAUGGUAGCUUGCUACCAGGCGUCAAGUGGCGGACGGGUGAGUAACGCGUAGUAAUCUGCCCAGUAGUGGGGGACAACCAGGGGAAACCCUGGCUAAUACCGCAUACACUCUACGGAGAAAAGGAGGCCUCUUCUUGAAAGCUUUCGCUAUUGGAUGAGCCUGCGUGAGAUUAGGUAGUUGGUAGGGUAAAGGCCUACCAAGCCUGCGAUCUAUAGCUGGUCUGAGAGGAUGAUCAGCCACACUGGGACUGAGACACGGCCCAGACUCCUACGGGAGGCAGCAGUGGGGAAUAUUGGACAAUGGGCGAAAGCCUGAUCCAGCAAUGCCGCGUGUGUGAAGAAGGCCUGAGGGUUGUAAAGCACUUUCAGUAGGGAAGAAAGGUCAAGCGUUAAUAGCGCUAGGCUGUGACGUUACCUACAGAAGAAGCACCGGCUAACUCCGUGCCAGCAGCCGCGGUAAUACGGAGGGUGCGAGCGUUAAUCGGAAUUACUGGGCGUAAAGCGCGCGUAGGCGGCCUGAUAAGUUGGAUGUGAAAGCCCUGGGCUUAACCUAGGAACUGCAUUCGAUACUGUUUAGCUAGAGUACAGUAGAGGGAAGCGGAAUUCCUAGUGUAGCGGUGAAAUGCGUAGAUAUUAGGAGGAACACCAGUGGCGAAGGCGGCUUUCUGGACUGAUACUGACGCUGAGGUACGAAAGCGUGGGGAGCAAACAGGAUUAGAUACCCUGGUAGUCCACGCCCUAAACGAUGAGAACUAGAUGUUGGAGACGUUGGUCUUUAGUGUCGCAGCUAACGCGUUAAGUUCUCCGCCUGGGGAGUACGGCCGCAAGGUUAAAACUCAAAUGAAUUGACGGGGGCCCGCACAAGCGGUGGAGCAUGUGGUUUAAUUCGAUGCAACGCGAAAAACCUUACCUACUCUUGACAUACAGAGAACUUUCUAGAGCUAACUUGGUGCCUUCGGGAACCGAGUGACAGGUGCUGCAUGGUUGUCGUCAGCUCGUGUCGUGAGAUGUUGGGUUAAGUCCCGCAACGAGCGCAACCCUUGAUCUUAGUUGCGACCAUUUAGUUGGGCACUUUAAGGAGACUGCCGGUGAUAAACCGGAGGAAGGUGGGGACGACGUCAAGUCAUCAUGGCCCUUAUGGGUAGGGCUACACACGUGCUACAAUGGCCGGUACAGAGGGUCGCUAACUUGCGAGAGUACGCUAAUCCCUUAAAGCCGGUCCUAGUCCGGAUUGGAGUCUGCAACUCGACUCCAUGAAGCUGGAAUCGCUAGUAAUCGCGGAUCAGAAUGCCGCGGUGAAUUCGUUGCCGGGUCUUGUACACACCGCCCGUCACGCCAUGGGAGUGGGUUGCAAAAGAAGUGGGUAGGCUAACCUUCGGGAGGCCGCUCACCACUU
RNAcentral lists this ribosomal RNA (1414 nucleotides) under uncultured prokaryote. Its description in RNAcentral is "partial 16S ribosomal RNA". It matches the Rfam family "Bacterial small subunit ribosomal RNA". The record is from RNAcentral.